AAUCUGUGUCAGCAUUUAAUAUUGUUAGUACUUUUAAUUUUAGUCAUUCUAGUAUGAGUGUAGUAAUACCUUCUUAUGGCUGUAUUUUAUUUUUAAAAUAUUUAUUUAUUUAUUUAUUUUAGGGUGAGAGCAAGCAUGCGAGAGCUCCUAUCCACUGGGUCACACCCCAGAUGCUGCAAUGGCUGGGACUGGACUGGGCUAAAGACAGACAGGCGAAAUUCAGUGUGGAUCUUUCAUGUGGAUGCAGGAACCCAGCGGAGCUAUGAAUGCUGCUUUCCAAGAACUGCAUUGGCAAGAAGCUGGGUUCAGGAGCCCAGCAUCACAUCCAGCCACACAGGAAGAAGAUCUGGGCCGCUCACCUCUCUCCUGAAACCGCUCCAGGCCACCAGUCUUCUACAGUAUCGCCAUGUUCACUGUAGCUUCUCAGAGCCUGUCCAGCACGUGAGGUCAAGGUCGGGCGCCUCCUCCUGGAAACACCCCCCUCUCCUGCUCCUCCCUCACUCCACCCUGACUGCCUCAGUUCCCCAGCCUCUGGGCGCGGGCUCUCCCCAUGCCCUGGCCUUUAGCUGCCUCUCACUUCCGGUUGCAUGUACCACUUCCGGGGAGUGAGUCUCAGCUUCAGGCCCUUCGCUGUACUGACGAUGCCCCCAGCUUGCACCUUCACUCUGCAUCUCUUCCUUAAAUUUCUGACACCGGAAACCAUCUUCCACCUGACGUCACCAGGCUCCCUCACCAACAGCUCAAGCUUAGCCUGUCCAGAACCAGGCUCCUGGCCACCUCCCUGAAGCCAGCUUCUCCCGCCUGCUGUCCUGGUCAGCUCUCCACAUCGCUCACUGCAGUGGUCGCCUCCGUGUCUGCCUUGCACCCCUCCGUGCAAAACCUUCCACGUCUUCCCGUCUCCCCCAGAAUAGACGUCAAGACGUACUGUUAUCACCUGACCCCGUUUCCCGCAGAUUUUCUGGCACUCGUGCCAAUGAGGCCAAGCUGGCCCCUUUGCUCUUCCUCAAAUACACGUGCUAUGGGCUUCUGCCCCAGGACGUUUGCAUCUGCUGAUCUUCUCUGAGGAUUGUUCCUCUCUCACAUUUUCUUAUGGCCAUUUGCUUCCUUAUUUACUCAAAUGUCACCAUCUCAGGAAAGCUCACUCACUUUCUACUUCACUCAUUUUCUGUCCCUAACACUUGUUAUUGUGCAGCCAAGUAUUUUACUUCCUUGUUAUUGUCUUCCCCAUUGGAAUAUAUGUCCAUCAGGGUCAAACGAUUGUUUUUUUUUUGUUUGUGUUUUUUCACAUCCUUAUUCCAGCACCCGGAACAGUGCCUGGCACAUAGUAUUAUUUAAAAAUUGAAUAAACGAUUGCAUUAGUUGAAUAUAUUUGAGUAA
Molecule: long non-coding RNA, 1377 nt
Filed under: Oryctolagus cuniculus (rabbit)
Lineage: Eukaryota; Metazoa; Chordata; Mammalia; Lagomorpha; Leporidae
Description: lncRNA (ENSOCUG00000039110.1)
Source: RNAcentral